UACGUAGGGUGCAAGCGUUGUCCGGAAUUAUUGGGCGUAAAGAGCUCGUAGGCGGUUUGUUGCGUCGGCUGUGAAAUCCCGAGGCUCAACCUCGGGUCUGCAGUCGAUACGAGCAAACUAGAGUGUUGCAGGGGAGACUGGAAUUCCUGGUGUAGCGGUGAAAUGCGUAGAUAUCAGGAGGAAUCCCGGUGGGGUAGACGGCUCUCUGGACCGCCACUGACGCUGAGACACGAAAGCGUGGGUAGCAAACAGG
This 253-nucleotide ribosomal RNA is filed under the name uncultured bacterium. RNAcentral's name for it is "partial 16S ribosomal RNA". It matches the Rfam family "Bacterial small subunit ribosomal RNA", at positions 524 to 776 of the family's 1533-position model. The record is from RNAcentral.